Non-coding RNA from Plectropomus leopardus (leopard coralgrouper), 1328 nucleotides. The record is from RefSeq and is a predicted model, not a curated record. Lineage: Eukaryota; Metazoa; Chordata; Actinopteri; Perciformes; Serranidae.
GUAGUUUGUGUUGUGUGUGUGUCUUUGUAUUUUGUUCAGACCACAGAAAAAGGUGUGAUUUUGUCUGUUGGAUGGAAGUUAACAUUCAUCCCUUUGUGUUUUAUAGGCGAAGUAAAAACAAAUAACUCCAGAAUUCCUGCUGCUUUCUUUGUGAGAAGACAUUCAACUGGAUCGGUGAAGAAAUGAAAACUUUAAAGUUGCGGUGUGGAGGAUUUAGUGACAUCCAGUGGAGCAUCCUGUUCUCACUCUGAAAUCGUCAAAUAACGACAUUUCUCAGUGGACGUCGGCGUCAGACACGAACGCACAGACAGGCACCCGUUGUGGCGUUGCUGUGUUGUGAUGCGAGGACUAGUGACUUCUGACGCUCUCCACUGGAAUCAAACCUGGUGACACUUAAUCAUCAGCCUGAAAAACUCUGCAAAUACACAAAGACUGUCACAAUAAUCAUUUGUUAUCAUGAAGUAUAAUGAAGCACUUUAUCCCAUUCAUUGCAUGUAUUUAUACUUUCUUUUUCUUUUUUUUUAAAAGCAUCAGCACUUUAAUAUCAAUUGUAUCCCUUUAAUUCUUCUUUCAGUCUCCCUCACUCUGCACUGAGCUCCUCUGCAGAUAAAAACACUUCUCUUUAGUGGUAUCUAAUCAUGCAAAAUGUUUGCACAUUUCUACCUACACCCUGAUACGGUGGUGAUGUUUGUUGGUUUGUUUGUUUUUGGUGCUCACAGCUUUGAAAAAUGACAUUUAAAACGAUCAACAGUAUGUUUACAUACACAAAAUAGUCAGUUUUUUGCCCUUAUUCCGCAAAAGACAAUAAUCUUAUUACGCUGUUUACAUAUCUAAUGAAACUGAAUAUUCCACUUACACUUCUGUUUACAUCAAGAUUAAUCCGUCAUCAAAAGAAAACAACAAAAAAACCUCAUGCACAGAAACCUUGCACAUUAAGUUCAGAUGAAAGUUAACAAGUCAGUGUUCAAACGGGGUUGACACAACGUGAGGUCAUAUUUGAUAUUAAACGUGCGACAGUUUUGGCUGAAAAAAGCACAACUGUGUGCAAAGGCCUUUAAUUGGAAUAUUAAAGCAGAAUAUUUAUAUAUAAAAUUCAAAAUAUUGUCAUAUUUAGAAUAAUAGGGGAAUACUGGUGUGCAUGUAAACAUUAACUCAUUUUUCCAAAAACAGUGUCCUGCUUACUCUGAAAAAUUCACACACCUUCACUGGAACUACUUUCUUUAACUGAGGAAAUGUUGACCUCAGUAAUCCAGUUAUUAUUGUGGAAAUAUUUGCUGCAAUUUAUAAUUUCUUUUUUUGGACAUUCAUUAAUUUAUUCAUUUAUUCAU